AUUGAACGCUGGCGGCAUGCUUUACACAUGCAAGUCGAACGGCAGCACGAAAGAUCUUGCUCUUUUGGUGGCGAGUGGCGAACGGGUGAGUAAUGCAUCGGAACUUACCGAGUAAUGGUGGAUAACUGUCCGAAAGUAUACCUAAUACCGCAUACGCUUUGAGAAGGAAAGUGGGGGCUCUUCGGACCUCACGUUAUUCGAUCGGCCGAUGUCUGAUUAGCUAGUUGGUGGGGUAAAGGCCUACCAAGGCGACGAUCAGUAGCGGGUCUGAGAGGAUGAUCCGCCAGACUGGGACUGAGACACGGCCCCGACUCUUACGGGAGGCAGCAGUGGGGACUUUUGGACGAUGGGGGAAAGCCGGAUCAAGCCAUGCCGCGUGUAUGAAGAAGGACUUCGGGUUGUAAAGGAAUUUUGUUAGGGAAGAAAAGGGUAGUGUUAAUACCAUAAUCUGCUGACGGUACCUAAAGAAUAAGCACCGGCUAACUACGUG
This 490-nucleotide ribosomal RNA is filed under the name uncultured bacterium. RNAcentral describes it as "partial 16S ribosomal RNA". It matches the Rfam family "Bacterial small subunit ribosomal RNA", at positions 30 to 507 of the family's 1533-position model. The record is from RNAcentral.